This 781-nucleotide ribosomal RNA is filed under the name uncultured Neocallimastigales. RNAcentral describes it as "partial large subunit ribosomal RNA". It matches the Rfam family "Eukaryotic large subunit ribosomal RNA", at positions 26 to 618 of the family's 3401-position model. Lineage: Eukaryota; Fungi; Neocallimastigomycota; Neocallimastigomycetes; Neocallimastigales. The record is from RNAcentral.
CGUCUAUAUACGUAUAGCAUAUCAAUAAGCGGAGGAAAAGAAACUAACAAGGAUUCCCUUAGUAACGGCGAGUGAAGCGGGAAGAGCUCAAAUUUGAAAUCUUCAAGGUUCUACCUUGACGAAUUGUAGUUUAAAGAAGUGUUUUCUGUUAGAGUUUGAGUAGCAAAAGUUCCUUGGAAUAGGGACAUCAUAGAGGGUGAGAAUCCCGUAUUUGACCAUUAUUUUCUAGCUUUGUGAUUACACUUUCAAAGAGUCGGAUUGUUUGGGAAUGCAGUCCAAAAUGGGUGGUAAAUUUCAUCUAAAGCUAAAUAUUGGCGAGAGACCGAUAGCGAACAAGUACCGUGAGGGAAAGAUGAAAAGAACUUUGAAAAGAGAGUUAAACAGUACGUGAAAUUGUCAAAAGGGAAGCGUUUGACACCAGUGUUGUUUUUCCGAAAAUCAAUUAAGAGUGGCUUGAUUUUGUGUUGUAUUGACCUUAUCAGCUUUCUUCACUCUUUUUCGAGUCUUUCUUAAUGCACUUUUCGGUUAACAAGUCAACAUCAAUUUCUUUUGUUGUAAAAGGGUAUUUGGAAGGUGGCUUUCUUUUCGGAGAAAGUGUUUAUAGCCUUAUACCUCUACAAUCGGAGAGAUUGAGGUCUGCAGCGUAGAUCCUUCGGGGCUAGAUACACUUGUGCUAAGUUAUAGCUUUUCAUAGACAACUUGUUGACUAUGUUUAGUCACGUAGCUUACUCGCUUGUGCUAUUUUACCUACGCUUAGGAUGUUGAGUCAUCACACAUCUCU